Molecule: ribosomal RNA, 479 nt
Filed under: uncultured bacterium
Lineage: Bacteria
Description: partial 16S ribosomal RNA
Rfam family: Bacterial small subunit ribosomal RNA
Source: RNAcentral
GACGAACGCUGGCGGCGUGCUUAACACAUGCAAGUCGAACGAAGCUUGAUUACGGAUUCUUCGGCUGAAGUAUGAUAUGACUGAGUGGCGGACGGGUGAGUAACGCGUGAGUAACCUGCCCUUCAGAGGGGGAUAGCGUUUGGAAACGAACGGUAAUACCGCAUAAUGUAUUUUGACCGCAUGAUCGAAAUACCAAAGAUUUAUCGCUGAAGGAUGGACUCGCGUCUGAUUAGGUAGUUGGUGGGGUAACGGCCUACCAAGCCGACGAUCAGUAGCCGGACUGAGAGGUUGAUCGGCCACAUGGGGACUGAGACACGGCCCAGACUCCUACGGGAGGCAGCAGUGGGGAAUAUUGCACAAUGGGCGCAAGCCUGAUGCAGCAACGCCGCGUGAAGGAAGACGGUUUUCGGAUUGGAAACUUCUGUUCUUAGUGAAGAAUAAUGACGGUAGCUAAGGAGCAAGCCACGGCUAACUACGUG